UCGGGCGUGGUGUAUGGGACACGGCGAGCUUUCGUAAUGCCGAGUAAAGAAAACUUACAAGCUCGCAGAACGGGGUUCGACUCCCCGCGCCGGAA
This is a non-coding RNA of Mycena galericulata, 95 nucleotides long. The record is from the annotation of a GenBank genome assembly. NCBI's taxonomy places the organism in Eukaryota, Fungi, Basidiomycota, Agaricomycetes, Agaricales, Mycenaceae.